RNAcentral lists this ribosomal RNA (458 nucleotides) under uncultured marine group I thaumarchaeote. Its description in RNAcentral is "bacterial SSU rRNA". It matches the Rfam family "Archaeal small subunit ribosomal RNA", at positions 428 to 885 of the family's 1478-position model. Lineage: Archaea; Thermoproteati; Nitrososphaerota. The record is from RNAcentral.
CUAACGAAUAAGGGGUGGGCAAGUUCUGGUGUCAGCCGCCGCGGUAAAACCAGCACCUCAAGUGGUCAGGAUGAUUAUUGGGCCUAAAGCAUCCGUAGCCGGCUCUGUAAGUUUUCGGUUAAAUCUGUACGCUCAACGUACAGGCUGCCGGGAAUACUGCAGAGCUAGGGAGUGGGAGAGGUAGACGGUACUCGGGAGGAAGUGGUAAAAUGCUUUGAUCUCUCGAUGACCACCUGUGGCGAAGGCGGUCUACCAGAACACGUCCGACGGUGAGGGAUGAAAGCUGGGGGAGCAAACCGGAUUAGAUACCCGGGUAGUCCCAGCUGUAAACUAUGCAAACUCAGUGAUGCAUUGGCUUGUGGCCAAUGCAGUAUUGCAGGGAAGCCGUUAAGUUUGCCGCCUGGGAAGUACGUACGCAAGUAUGAAACUUAAAGGAAUUGGCGGGGGAGCACCACAAG